GAUCCUGGCUCAGAACGAACGCUGGCGGCAUGCCUAACACAUGCAAGUCGAACGAGACCUUCGGGUCUAGUGGCGCACGGGUGCGUAACGCGUGGGAACCUGCCUUAGGUUCGGAAUAACUCAGAGAAAUUUGAGCUAAUACCAUAUAAUGUCUUCGGACCAAAGAUUUAUCGCCCUGAGAUAAGCCCGCGUAGGAUUAGCUAGUUGGUGGGGUAAAGGCUCACCAAGGCGACGAUCCUUAGCUGGUCUGAGAGGAUGAUCAGCCACACUGGGACUGAGACACGGCCCAGACUCCUACGGGAGGCAGCAGUGGGGAAUAUUGGACAAUGGGCGAAAGCCUGAUCCAGCAAUGCCGCGUGAGUGAUGAAGGCCUUCGGGUCGUAAAGCUCUUUUACCAGGGAUGAUAAUGACAGUAUCGGGAGAAUAAGCUCCGGCUAACUCCGUG
This 445-nucleotide ribosomal RNA is filed under the name uncultured bacterium. Its description in RNAcentral is "bacterial SSU rRNA". It matches the Rfam family "Bacterial small subunit ribosomal RNA", at positions 15 to 507 of the family's 1533-position model. The record is from RNAcentral.